GAUGAACGCUAGCGAUAGGCUUAACACAUGCAAGUCGAGGGGCAGCACAAGGUAGCUUGCUAUCUGGGUGGCGACCGGCGCACGGGUGCGUAACGCGUAUGCAACUUGCCCUAUACAGGAGGAUAACCCGUCGAAAGACGGACUAAUACUGCGUAUGCUCACAACUUGGCAUCAAGUGGUGAGGAAAGAAAUUCGGUAUAGGAUAGGCAUGCGUCCCAUUAGCUUGUUGUUGAGGUAACGGCUCACCAAGGCAACGAUGGGUAGGGGAACUGAGAGGUUUUUCCCCCACAGUGGUACUGAGACACGGACGAGACUGCUACGGGAGGCAGCAGUGAGGAAUAUUGGUCAAUGGACGCGAGCCUGAACAAGCCAAGUCGCGUGAAGGAUGACUGUCUUAGGGAUUGUAAACUUCUUUUAUACGGGAAUAACAAGAGUAACGUGUGACUCCCUGAAUGUACCGUAUGAAUAAGCAUCGGCUAACUCCGUG
RNAcentral lists this ribosomal RNA (487 nucleotides) under uncultured bacterium. RNAcentral describes it as "partial 16S ribosomal RNA". It matches the Rfam family "Bacterial small subunit ribosomal RNA", at positions 28 to 507 of the family's 1533-position model. The record is from RNAcentral.